CCGACUUUAGCUCAGUUGGAAGAGCAUCAGACUGUAAUGGAUAAACCACCGCGAUCUGGGUGUCGCCUGUUCGAACCAGGCAAGUCGGA
Non-coding RNA from Marasmius sp. AFHP31, 89 nucleotides. NCBI's taxonomy places the organism in Eukaryota, Fungi, Basidiomycota, Agaricomycetes, Agaricales, Marasmiaceae. The record is from the annotation of a GenBank genome assembly.